GACGAACGCUGGCGGCGUGCUUAACACAUGCAAGUCGAACGGAAAGGCCCUGCUUUUGUGGGGUGCUCGAGUGGCGAACGGGUGAGUAACACGUGAGUAACCUGCCCUUGACUUUGGGAUAACUUCAGGAAACUGGGGCUAAUACCGGAUAGGAGCUCCUGCUGCAUGGUGGGGGUUGGAACGUUUCGGCGGUUGGGGAUGGACUCGCGGCUUAUCAGCUUGUUGGUGGGGUAGUGGCUUACCCAGGCUUUGGCGGGUAGCCGGCCUGAGAGGGGGACCGGCCACAAUGGGACUGAGGUACGGACCAGACUCCUACGGGAGGCAGCAGUGGGGAAUAUUGCACAGUGGGCGGAAGCCUGAGGAAGCAGCGCCGCGUGCGGGAUGACGGCCUUCGGGUUGUAAACCGCUUUCGCCUGUGACGAAGCGGGAGUGACGGUAAUGGGUAAAGAAGCACCGGCUAACUACGUG
This 468-nucleotide ribosomal RNA is filed under the name uncultured bacterium. Its description in RNAcentral is "partial 16S ribosomal RNA". It matches the Rfam family "Bacterial small subunit ribosomal RNA", at positions 28 to 507 of the family's 1533-position model. The record is from RNAcentral.